UCUCUGGGGUGGCGAUGAUCUCGACGCCAACCUCGGGUUCUUCUACAAGAACUGCCUCAGGAUCCCCUACAAGAGCAACCCCAGGAUCCUCUGCUAGAGCAGCCUCGAGAGCAUUCACUAUAGCAGCCUCGGGUGAAGUUUCACAGGCUACCUCGGGAGGCGCCUCGAACUCAGGCUCGACGGGCACAGGAGCAGGACUGUCUGGAACAUCCUCGUCUUCAGUGUCCCCAAACCGAGGUUGAAGGUUGCUGAAAUCGAGCUUGGGACAAAUCCUCCGCACCUGGGCCUAAAAAUCCUCGAAGCCGCGGAUGAGGCCAUCGACUGCCUCCUCCUCCAGCUCUUUUCGGUACUCGGCUGACUCGCGGAAGAUCUGCACCGCAUUCCGAGCAUGCUCCAGCGCCUUCUUCUCUCGAGCUUCAAGUUGCUCGA
RNAcentral lists this long non-coding RNA (429 nucleotides) under Phoenix dactylifera (date palm). RNAcentral describes it as "long non-coding RNA (PDAC_LNC013004)". The record is from RNAcentral. Lineage: Eukaryota; Viridiplantae; Streptophyta; Magnoliopsida; Arecales; Arecaceae.